Molecule: ribosomal RNA, 453 nt
Filed under: uncultured Porphyromonadaceae bacterium
Lineage: Bacteria; Pseudomonadati; Bacteroidota; Bacteroidia; Bacteroidales; Porphyromonadaceae
Description: partial 16S ribosomal RNA
Rfam family: Bacterial small subunit ribosomal RNA
Source: RNAcentral
ACGGGAGGCAGCAGUGAGGAAUAUUGGUCAAUGGGCGGAAGCCUGAACCAGCCAAGUCGCGUGAGGGAUGAAGGUAUUAUGUAUUGUAAACUUCUUUAGACGUAGAGAAAUAAGCGGGACGCGUCCCGCGAUGCUAGUAUACGUAGAAUAAGGAUCGGCUAACUCCGUGCCAGCAGCCGCGGUAAUACGGAGGAUCCGAGCGUUAUCCGGAUUUAUUGGGUUUAAAGGGUGCGCAGGCGGUCUUUUAAGUCAGUGGUUAAAGCGUGGGGCUAAACUCCAUCCCGCCAUUGAUACUGGAGGACUUGAUUGCGGUCGAGGUUGGCGGAAUUCGCCGUGUAGCGGUGAAAUGCAUAGAUAUGGCGAAGAACUCCGAUUGCGUAGGCAGCUGACCAGGCCGUAAAUGACGCUCAUGCACGAAAGUGCGGGGAUCGAACAGGAUUAGAUACCCUGGUA